CUAGAAAAUGCGAAUUGUAGCGAAAAUACAUAGGCGGCAGCGGUGGUGGUGGGCCAUGUUGGCCCGUUGGUGUGGUCAGAUUUUAACGCGCAUGUGAACAUCUGUCCGCCGUCGGCGAGGUAGGAAUUGAAUGCAGGGUCCAGUGUCUUCUCCACCUAGGGCGUGCUCAUCUGGGAGCUAGCGACCGCGGCAUGGAGAGGCGAAGCACCGGCGGCAAGCCACCAUGGAGUUCCUGAUGCAGCCAAUCGGAAGAUCCAGUCUGCUAGAGGAAGUAGGGGAGAGUUUGGUGGAGUAGUAGGUGAUGGAGCAGCGGCGGGCAGUGGCUAGCGCUGAUGCGCAGACUAUGGCGGCCAAGGAACCGGCGGUGCACAGGAGGGAGAGCUCACUUCCAACGUCAGAGCUGUCAACGGGGAGGUUGAAUCCUCUGGCGCCCGGAUGGAACAAUAGGCGGAGGAUAGGUACCAGUAGAACCCCUUGCCAAAUCGGAUCACUGCAUUUGAGAAGGCUGUCAGGUGUUAUGCUGACAACCUAGCUGAAAAUGUCAUCACACCAAUUCUUGGGACUGGUUUUGACUCUUUGGGCGACGCGUACGACUUCUAAAAUCUGUACUCUUGUGAGAAGGGCUUUGCAAUCCGACUUGUAAAAUCUGUACUCUUGUGAGAAGGGCUUUGCAAUCCGAUAUGGGAAGAGCCAGCUUAAUGUGGAGAGGAUGAAAUGCAUGAAGGUAAUGGUGUGUGGCUGUUCGGGUAAAGCUGGUGUUGAGAAAACGAGGUCUUGUUGAUGUGAGUGCCCUGCUCUGAUAAGGAUACUACGAUCAGAGAACAAUGGCUGAUAUAUUGCAGAGCAUAGAGUCACAACCAUUCGCUUUCUCCUAAUUUUGGUGAGACAAUCCAUUGGCCAUCGCACAAGCACAUAGACGUGUGCAGCGGAGAUAUUGUGAAGUAGCUGAGGUAGAACAAUGUGAACCUCGCUAAGGUAUACAGUCUCAUAGGAAGCAUCUUUGGGUCGAUGGAAAAUGUUCCGUUCACAAAGAGGUCUUUGCGUAAACUAUGUGGGAAGAUAAAUAGGAGGUGCUGAACCAUAUGCUGACGGAAAAUGAAUUUGAGAGAGGGUGGGAAAUGUUGCUGGAAUAAGAAAUCAUGCGGCAUGUAUUCUAACAUUGUUCUGUUUUUCUUACCUUGGUGCCAUCCCUGCUAGCUUUUCUAAACAUCACCAAGGUCAUUUGUAGUUUUUAUGCAAUUACUAGUUUAGGUCAAUGUUAAUUUAGCAAUGCAGCAGAAGGCUUCCUUUGCUUCCUUUUUCAUGAUUAUUAUUGUAUACCAGCAUCAAGUUUUUGUAUAGUUUCUUUAGGGGUAGAUUGCAGUGAUAUAGUUCAAUGACAUCUGUUUUCUGCUUUUCUGAGUUGAAGGCUAAUAUGUGACUAUCAUCUUAAACAAGUAUUUUUGAUAUCACUGAACCAUGAUUCAAGUCCAUGUUAUCAUUUUUCUCACUUAUUCUUCCUUUCAUGUCGAUUUAAUGUCAUAAUACAGAUGAUCUAAUGAUGACAAUCAGAAGACAAGAAACAGAGCGAAAGGGAUACAUUUUCUUCAUUGAUUUGAUACUCACCAGUGAAUACAUUUUCUUCAUUGAUUCCAAAUUCAAUUCUAGUGUGUACUCUUGUACCUCCUCUCGAAUAUUUUUCUUGUCUGAUACGCGAUUCAUAUUUUAUCGUCCUCUUGAAAGCGUUGUAGGUCUCAGACGUUCGUCCAUCUUGCUACCAUCUAUUCGGAAAGGCAUAUGGUUGCCCGGCAGUAAUGGAAGAAGAUUGGUGUAUGUUUCCUGGACCACAAGUAAUCUGCUUGCAUGACUCAUGUUUUGAUUUGAGUUACAGAUGAUGUAUUUUGCAACCAACCAUUGUCCUGUUCGUGUGGAUUACCAGCUGAAGAACACUCCCGUCUCUCGAGCAUUCAAGCAAGUAAGCUUCCUUAUGCGUUCCAUGGAUGAUUGGGCAUCGGAGUUACCACUUAAUUGUGUGCAUGCUUUUGCUGUUGCAAUUUAAAGUGGACCACCCAGAGGUGCAUUUGCACUCAUUUGUGACUGUGAAAUAAACCAUCCACAAUCAAAUUGGAGACCUUUGUAAUGUGGGUACUCUUGUGUCAGUCAUACCAUAAAAGGUUGACUAGGUGGCUUGUUUUCACUAACCUAACAUGCUGACCUGACAGGCACGCGAAGUUGCAUUGGUAAGCAGGUUUUUAUGAAGUUCUUUCCUCUUGGCAUGGUUAGGGCUAGUAGGAGAAUAAAUUAGCAAAGCUAUCAUGAUCAAGAAGAGGUGACCGAGAGCGACGAACUGAUCUAGGGACUGCAGACCAGUGUGCCGUACAAGCGCUAACUUCAUUUUUUUAAAUUACCUGUAGAAUUGACAGAACAUGUAUAAAUUCCAUACCUUUCUGGAACCAGUGCAUGGACUAAAUUUGUGGACAUGUUUGGGAAAAUACUUUUUCAUAAUUAUGACAUGAUUAAAGCCACUCCAAUAUGCAUGGAAUGCUUAUUGAAAGGACCACUCUCAAGCCGGCAAGAACAAAGAACAUACAACAGUUUUAAGACCAGCAGCCUUCUUUGGCAUGCACAUUUCUUUGUACUGGUAAGAUAAUGUCAUAGAUUGUACUAUGUGGUAUAACGCACAUAGGCCCAUUGUACUAUGUGGUAACAUUGUUGGGAGUUUUUUCGGGUGAAUGGAUAAUGUGUCGUUUACGAAGAGUUCUCUGAAAAAUCUGUGUGGAAAGAUCAGCCAGGAGCAGGUAGAUGACGAUGUGAGGAAGACAAUGGAAGUGUUUGCUAAAUUGGGGUAAGGAUCCACACUUUACAUACCAUGUGCAGGCAGACAAAGAGGGCCGGACAAAGAACUUGAUGUGGGCGAAUGGCAGCAGCAGGCUGCAGUACAGUUUCAUUGGUGGUGUAGUGACGUUUUAUACAACGUACCGGACGAACGUUUACGACAAUGCCCUUAAGACUUUUCGUUGGGGAUAACAAUUUUUAGAGUACUAUACUGGCUGGUGUACUGCUACGAGUCGAGACCGAGGAAAGUUUUGAGUGUGUUUUUUCAGACUUUCCACGGAUGAUGAGAGACAUGGCGCCGAAAACAAUACUCAUUGAACAGAAUCGGACGAUGGAUGAUGUCCCCGAAGCAACCUCGGAAGCCUGCAAGGUGUAAGAGUUGUGGUUUGAGGGCCAUAGGAGAAACAACUGCACCAAGGCAAUGAAGAUGAGGUUAGCAACAUGUGUGAUGCUAGAGUGUAGUGCUAGGGCUGAGGGGUUGUUUCUCGUUAGUUGUAAACCUGUGAUGUUGUAUUAUUGUGGACUAUUUCUAAUUUUGGGUUGUACUGGUUGGCAGGCUGAAGUGCAGUUAAAAAAAUGUGUCGUUGUUUUAGUUAAUUGCCCAUGGUGCGAAUGAUGGUUGUGGUCAUAGUUACAUGCUUGAUCUACUGAUUCUUGCAGUUUGUAGUGCUGAAUCUUUGAGGUGAUCUUGCUUAUUCUUGUAGCCUGGUUUGUUCUGUUGAA
Triticum aestivum (bread wheat) is the source of this 3537-nucleotide long non-coding RNA. RefSeq lists it as uncharacterized. The transcript is spliced from 7 exons. Lineage: Eukaryota; Viridiplantae; Streptophyta; Magnoliopsida; Poales; Poaceae. The record is from RefSeq and is a predicted model, not a curated record.